RNAcentral lists this ribosomal RNA (1277 nucleotides) under uncultured bacterium. RNAcentral describes it as "bacterial SSU rRNA". It matches the Rfam family "Bacterial small subunit ribosomal RNA", at positions 1 to 1181 of the family's 1533-position model. The record is from RNAcentral.
GAUUAGAGUUUGAUCAUGGCUCAGGACGAACGCUGGCGGCGUGCUUAACACAUGCAAGUCGAACGGUGAACCGGUGCUUGCACCGGGGAUCAGUGGCGAACGGGUGAGUAACACGUGAGCAACCUGCCCCUGACUCUGGGAUAACUUCGGGAAAUCGGAGCUAAUACCGGAUAUGAGACGUACAGGCAUCUGUUGCGUCUGGAAAGAUUUAUCGGUUGGGGAUGGGCUCGCGGCCUAUCAGCUUGUUGGUGGGGUAAUGGCCUACCAAGGCGACGACGGGUAGCCGGCCUGAGAGGGCGACCGGCCACACUGGGACUGAGACACGGCCCAGACUCCUACGGGAGGCAGCAGUGGGGAAUAUUGCACAAUGGGCGAAAGCCUGAUGCAGCGACGCCGCGUGGGGGAUGAAGGCCUUCGGGUUGUAAACCCCUUUCAGCAGGGAAGAAGCGAAAGUGACGGUACCUGCAGAAGAAGCGCCGGCUAACUACGUGCCAGCAGCCGCGGUAAUACGUAGGGCGCAAGCGUUGUCCGGAAUUAUUGGGCGUAAAGAGCUCGUAGGCGGUUUGUCGCGUCUGCUGCGAAAACCCGAGGCUCAACCUCGGGCCUGCAGUGGGUACGGGCAGACUAGAGUGCGGUAGGGGAGACCGGAAUUCCUGGUGUAGCGGUGGAAUGCGCAGAUAUCAGGAGGAACACCGAUGGCGAAGGCAGGUCUCUGGGCCGCAACUGACGCUGAGGAGCGAAAGCAUGGGUAGCGAACAGGAUUAGAUACCCUGGUAGUCCAUGCCGUAAACGUUGGGCACUAGGUGUGGGACUCAUUCCACGAGUUCCGUGCCGCAGCUAACGCAUUAAGUGCCCCGCCUGGGGAGUACGGCCGCAAGGCUAAAACUCAAAGGAAUUGACGGGGGCCCGCACAAGCGGCGGAGCAUGCGGAUUAAUUCGAUGCAACGCGAAAAACCUUACCAAGGCUUGACAUAUGCCGAAAACUCAUGGAGAAAUGGGGUCCGCAAGGGCGGUAUACAGGUGGGGCAUGGUUGUCGUCAGUUCGGGUCUGGGGAUGUUGGGUUAAGUUCCCGCAACGGAGGGGUUACCCUUGGCCAUAGUUGCUCACCAUUCAGUUGAGCCACUCUAUAUGGGACUUGCGCCGGUGGUACAAAUCGGGAAAGGGAGGUGGUGGGGUAUAGGACCGUCCAAGUUCCCUUCUAUUGGGGCCCUUAUAGUAGGGUGGGGGGCUUCACUACCCAACCGGCUCAUAUACAAAUGGGUGUGGGUUGUGGAUU